CUACGGGCGGCUGCAGUUAGGAAUAAUCUACAAUGCACGCAAGUGUGAUAGUUUGAAUCAGAGUGCGUUUCAUUCGAAACGCUUUUAUGAAAUGUAAAAAGUUUCACGAAUAAGGACUGGGUAAGACUAGUGCCAGCCGCCGCGGUAAUACUAGCGGUCCAAGUCGCAGCCAUUUUUAUUGGGUCUAAAACAUCCGUAGCUUGCUUGAUAAGUUUCUUGUGAAAUUUUGUAUCUUAAGUACAGAGCGUGCAAGAAGUACUGUCAAGCUAGAGACUGGGAGACGUAAGAAGUACGGCCAAAGUAGCGGUUAAAUGUGUUAAUCUUGGUUGGACUUACAAUAGCGAAGGCAUCUUACGAGAACAGUUCUGACAGUCAGGGAUGAAGGCUAGGGGCGCAAAACGGAUUAGAUACCCGCGUAGUC
RNAcentral lists this ribosomal RNA (421 nucleotides) under uncultured archaeon. RNAcentral's name for it is "partial 16S ribosomal RNA". It matches the Rfam family "Archaeal small subunit ribosomal RNA", at positions 323 to 746 of the family's 1478-position model. The record is from RNAcentral.